This is a long non-coding RNA of Oxyura jamaicensis (ruddy duck), 1635 nucleotides long. RefSeq lists it as uncharacterized. NCBI's taxonomy places the organism in Eukaryota, Metazoa, Chordata, Aves, Anseriformes, Anatidae. The record is from RefSeq and is a predicted model, not a curated record. The transcript is spliced from 4 exons.
UGAUGCAAAUUAUAUACGAUACAUAGUUUAAGCAUGCACUGUUUGAAUUAAUUUGUUAUUUUGUCAUGGAGCUGCCAGCUUCAUAGUUUGGUUGGACACUUGCUUUCUGAGUCUUCAUUUCUGAUAUUUACCAGAAGAAACAAAUGAUAACUUUUUACUCAUGUCACCAAUAAAACUGUUGUUUAUGUUGUUGUUGUUGUUUUAUUUACAUAGAUUAUAUGUGUGUUUGAGGAACCCUGUCAGCAAAGACAGCAAUAUUAAUUCAGAAGUCAAAGAAUUUAGGAAGGAAAAUCUCAUUACUGAGGCCCCAGUGUGACCCAUCACACAUUAUAGUGGAUGAGCUCUUAAGGAGGAAAAUAGGCUGUGGUUGCUGUAGCUUACAUUUGGACAGUUUGCUCAGAGGAUUCGUUUCUACUACUCAUACCCUGAUUUAAGUUGAUCUGAAGUGAAGCUGGUGACAGCCUGAAGCUCAAAAUCUGGCAAAGAGCGAGCAACAGAUGGUGAGCUGACCAUCAGUGACAUAUUUGAGCAGUCUCUUCAGAACUCCACUCAGCUUUUAAGACAAUCAAAAAUGUGAUGUGUAUAAAAGUUUUAGUCAUUUCUAAGUUGCAGGUUAUCACCACAAAGCCAUUGAAAAGUUCAUGUGGCAGAUCAUGCUGUCUGGGAUUAGAUAGGACAAGCUUCCUGUGCAAUAUUAGUAAUAUAUAGAAAGAAUGCCUUGAAGAAAUGCAAUACUUAAGCAGGCAUUAAUUGAUGAUAGAGACUUGCCUCCACAAAGUUUAAUUCUCUGGAGCUUAAACAAAAGGAGAAGCCAAGUAUGCACCUUUUUCGUGGUACAGAAAAGGGAAGAUAUUAAUGGGCCCACCUGGACUUGUGAGAGAUAUCAGCACACGUCAGCACACACUGACCCGCUUCAAGCAGUUUCCAAAAAGUUUUGAAUAUUUUGUUGAAAAAAAAGCACAGUAUAAACCAAAACUCUCUUAGUGCUUAAGUUCACGUGCAGAGGGAAUGUUUUCUCCUAUUUUUUAAUAAAUUAAAGUUACAGAAAAACCAGCAUGCACUGACCUCUUCUCAGGCUGUGUGCAUGUGCACAGCAAGGGAGGGGAUUCAGUGACGUGCCUCCUGACCUUGACUUCUCUGAAGAUAGAGAAGAUGGUGGUUUCACAUGCUCAGCUGUUUGAUUUCCUUUCCACUAGCCAUAAUUAACAUUUAUUCAAGCAACAUUAGGAAGAAAAUAAAUAUUUCAAAGCAGCUAAUUACAGCAUCCAAAACAUCCUCCAAGCUAUUUUUUUAAUGAGGAUGUGCUUUGUUCCUGCAAUAGUGUAAUAUUAAUUUCAUGAAGCAAUUAAACAAACCAAAAACAGAUACAAUGCAGAAAGGCGUAUGUUUUCUCCUGUUUACAAAAAUGCUCACUUGCAUUUCAAUGAGUUACUUGUGUAAAGCUGAUCAUCAUAAGCUGCGUAAACCUCAUAUAAAUUGAGACCCAAGCUUGGAGAACUUGCUCUGAUGCAAUUUGUAAAGAUUUCAGUAGAAAUUUUGCCUGCGUAUAAACUUGGGCUUAAUGCAAAUAUGCUCUUUUGUUGAAGUGUAUUAAUCUCUACUUUUAACAAAGGAUUAGUUAUGUUUACUUCACCC